This 73-nucleotide transfer RNA is filed under the name Marmota monax (woodchuck). RNAcentral describes it as "tRNA.Ala". Lineage: Eukaryota; Metazoa; Chordata; Mammalia; Rodentia; Sciuridae. The record is from RNAcentral.
GUGGGAUUGUGGCUCAGCUGUAGAGCAGUCACCUAGCACAUGUGAGGUCCUGGGUUCGAUCCUCAGCACCACA